This 666-nucleotide ribosomal RNA is filed under the name Alexandrium tamarense. Its description in RNAcentral is "eukaryotic LSU rRNA". It matches the Rfam family "Eukaryotic large subunit ribosomal RNA", at positions 43 to 651 of the family's 3401-position model. Lineage: Eukaryota; Dinophyceae; Gonyaulacales; Pyrocystaceae. The record is from RNAcentral.
UAAGUAAGUGGUGGAAAUUAAACCAAAUGGGAUAUCUUUAGUAAUUGCGAAUGAACAAGGAUAUGCUUAGCUUGACAAAUGGAGCUAUUGGCUUUGAAUUGUAUUGUGGAAAUGUAUUACCAACAGAGGUGCAGGUGCCAGCCUAUUGAAAUAAAGCGUCAAUGAGGGUGAGAAUCCUGUUUGUCAUGUGCAGCCCUUUGUGCACGGUGUAUAUUUGCUGAGUCACACUCCUUGGCAUUGGAAUGCAAAGUGGGUGGUAAGUUUCAUGUAAAGGUAAACAUGCAAUUGAGACUGAUAGCACACAAGUACCUUGAGGGAAAUAUGAAAAGGACUUUGAAAAGAGAAUUAAAUGAGUUUGUAUUUGCUGAACACAAAGUAAACAGACUUGAUUUGCUUGGUGGGAGUGUUGCACUUGCUUGACAAGAGCUUUGGGCUGUGGGUGUAAUGAUUCUUUCUUUGCAUGCCAGUUUCUAUUUGUACAUCUGAUUACCUUUGCACAUGAAUGAUAAGUCUCCUGUGGGGGGUGGAUUGCAUGUGCAUGUAAUGAUUUGUGUUUUGAUAAAUGUGUCUGGUGUAUGUGUGUGUUCCUGUGCUUGGGGGUGCUUCCUUCCUUGGACUUACAAGCCCUGACACACACAUGCUGGCAAAAUGCUUCUGCUUGACCCG